This 301-nucleotide ribosomal RNA is filed under the name uncultured bacterium. RNAcentral's name for it is "partial 16S ribosomal RNA". It matches the Rfam family "Bacterial small subunit ribosomal RNA", at positions 509 to 807 of the family's 1533-position model. The record is from RNAcentral.
CAGCAGCCACGGGAAUACGUAGGGUGCAAGCGUUAAUCGGAAUUACUGGGCGUAAAGCGUGCGCAGGCGGUUCGGAAAGAAAGAUGUGAAAUCCCAGGGCUCAACCUUGGAACUGCAUUUUUAACUACCGGACUAGAGUAUGUCAGAGGGAGGUGGAAUUCCACGUGUAGCAGUGAAAUGCGUAGAUAUGUGGAGGAACACCGAUGGCGAAGGCAGCCUCCUGGGAUAAUACUGACGCUCAUGCACGAAAGCGUGGGGAGCAAACAGGAUUAGAUACCCCUGUAGUCCCUGUCUCUUAUAC